AAGGGAAAAAGAGAUUUGAAAUCAACAAUAUACAAAUCAAUAAAUAAAUUAUACACAAAUCAACAAAAUAAGAACAUGCCACAGAAAAUAAGAACACAAGAGAGAGAGAAAUUUGAGUGAAUACUCUUAAGAAUUAUUAUUACUCCCAACUCCCAGUGUUUUACAAUGAAGGGAGAGGCCUCUAUUUAUAGUUGGGCCUCCCCAAAUCCAACGGUACAGAUCAAUUAUAUCAACGGCUAAGAUUAAAGGGUAUCUACAAAUUAAAUCUCUAAGAUUACAAAAUCAUAUCUUCUAAGAUUGCAUAUCAACCUAAGGUUGCAUAUCCUUGAAGAUUAUGUUUCCAUAAGCUUGUAGAUGGACCUUCAACCUUUUCAAGUAAUGGGCCAUUCCGAUCGGGCCAAACAAUAUAAUUUUGUACUAGACUUGGACUUUGUUUUGUUAUUUUGGGUUUAUUAUUUUUUUGUGAGCCCGGGCUAAAUUGGCCUAUUACAUAGAUGAACUCCUCUUUUCCAAUAAGCUAGUUAUAGCUACCAAGGACGCCUCAGACACCAACUCUUCCUUGUGUAAAUUAGUUAUGGAACAUCCAAUAACUAACCCUUACCUAUCGAACAACGAACGAAACGUUUGUGAUUUAGAACUCCAACAGCUUUGCGUUCUAGAGCGCCUAGCUCGAACCAAUGCCCUUAACCGCGUGGGACAUUUAAAUCUAGUUACUACUUCCCUUGACGGAACCAAACAACAAUCUCCACUUGGCAUGCCAAUGUGUUCACAGAAAAUCGAUUAGACAAUCGAUCAUUUUGGAAUUCCAACUGUACGUCUAACCACACUAAAUCAAACGACGUCUUUUUUGACUUUGUGUUGAUUUGACUUUGUGAGUUGACAAAAUCAUACUCUUAAUCUGGAGAAAUAAUAAGUACUGGAAUUUAGGAGUUAAAUUGCUUGGGUUCAUAACUCUCGGAUCUUGACGAGGCUAACUCCGACCUAAAGCUAAAAAUAGAUUUAGUUGAUUAAGGUUUGGGACAUGUUGGUAUUGGUCAUAAUUGGAGAAGAUUGAAUAAAUGAUAAAAAUGAAAAUAAAUGGGCGAAGGUGACGCAAGGUUUGAGUGCUAAAGCUAGAAACUAAUAGAUGGAAAAAUAUAAGAAAUUGAUUUCGGCAACUAAAUUUGCAAAAAGGAAAGAAAAGACUGAAUUGCAAGAGAAAUAAGCUUGAUCGAAAACUUGAUUAAUGACUUCAUUC
Molecule: long non-coding RNA, 1237 nt
Filed under: Gossypium raimondii (Peruvian cotton)
Lineage: Eukaryota; Viridiplantae; Streptophyta; Magnoliopsida; Malvales; Malvaceae
Description: long non-coding RNA (GRAI_LNC000965)
Source: RNAcentral